CAGUAGCCGCGGGAAUACGUAGGGUGCAAGCGUUGUCCGGAAUUAUUGGGCGUAAAGAGCUCGUAGGCGGUUUGUCGCGUCUGCUGUGAAAACGCGAGGCUCAACCUCGCGCCUGCAGUGGGUACGGGCAGACUAGAGUGUGGUAGGGGAGAUUGGAAUUCCUGGUGUAGCGGUGGAAUGCGCAGAUAUCAGGAGGAACACCGAUGGCGAAGGCAGAUCUCUGGGCCAUUACUGACGCUGAGGAGCGAAAGCGUGGGGAGCGAACAGGAUUAGAUACCCCAGUAGUCCCUGUCUCUUAUAC
RNAcentral lists this ribosomal RNA (301 nucleotides) under uncultured bacterium. RNAcentral's name for it is "partial 16S ribosomal RNA". It matches the Rfam family "Bacterial small subunit ribosomal RNA", at positions 509 to 807 of the family's 1533-position model. The record is from RNAcentral.